AAAUGAAUUGACGGGGGCCCGCACAAGCAGUGGAGUAUGUGGUUUAAUUCGAAGCAACGCGAAGAACCUUACCAGGACUUGACAUCCAAUGAAUCCUAUAGAGAUAUGGGAGUGCCUUUUGGAACAUUGAGACAGGUGGUGCAUGGUUGUCGUCAGCUCGUGUCGUGAGAUGUUGGGUUAAGUCCCGCAACGAGCGCAACCCCUAUUGUUAGUUGCCAUCAUUAAGUUGGGCACUCUAGCGAGACUGCCGGUGACAAAUCGGAGGAAGGUGGGGAUGACGUCAAAUCAUCAUGCCCCUUAUGUCCUGGGCUACACACGUACUACAAUGGCCGUUAACAGCGGGAAGCAAGACAGCAAUGUGGAGCAAAUCCCCAAAAACGGUCUCAGUUCGGAUUGUAGGCUGCAACUCGCCUACAUGAAGUCGGAAUUGCUAGUAAUCGCGGAUCAGCAUGUCGCGGUGAAUACGUUCCCGGGCCUUGUACACACCGCCCGU
This 493-nucleotide ribosomal RNA is filed under the name uncultured bacterium. RNAcentral describes it as "bacterial SSU rRNA". It matches the Rfam family "Bacterial small subunit ribosomal RNA", at positions 903 to 1397 of the family's 1533-position model. The record is from RNAcentral.